This 71-nucleotide transfer RNA is filed under the name Abscondita chinensis. RNAcentral describes it as "tRNA-Val". Lineage: Eukaryota; Metazoa; Arthropoda; Insecta; Coleoptera; Lampyridae. The record is from RNAcentral.
UGAAUCUAGUAUUAAUCAAAUUAAAGCUUUAAGGGAAGUUUUUUAUUUACAUUAAAAAGAAUACUGUUCAA